Molecule: small RNA, 353 nt
Filed under: Pan troglodytes (chimpanzee)
Lineage: Eukaryota; Metazoa; Chordata; Mammalia; Primates; Hominidae
Description: processed transcript
Source: RNAcentral
UUGUUGUGGAGCAUCAGCGUUAAGGACAGCCGGCUGCUGUGGGAGCAAUUUCCUGCUGCAGAGAGCAUUUUAAGAAAGGACAGCAUUCCUGUGACCUCUGCCUACCAUCCAUAAAAUACUCAUUCCCCUCUCAGAUAUAAGAAGCUCUGAUACGAAAGCCGGGGGCUCCUGUUGGCUGGAAGGAGGUUUGCAUCUGCCAUCGCCAGCACUUGUGGAGCUGAGCUCUGCCUGCAGUUGAACACAAAGACCUGGAGGAGACUCCCACCUCCUUCAGGGAGAAGAAAGGAGGCAGCGAAGCAGAUUAAAGGAACUUGUGGCUUGUGGCCUUUUUGUGCAAGGGCUGCCUGGAAGGG